CUGGAUUUUCGAUUGUUUUACUAGAUACUCUGCACAUGGUUCCUCAUGCUUCCCCUGACUUAGCUACAGUAUAGUGCAGUGCAGUGCAGUGCAGUGAAUCCAGAAAAGGUGAGGGAGCUUCAAUAUAUUUUUGCAUCCCUAGGCCAUCUGGCAUAAAGAUACUCCUGAAAGUCAGAUUCCACAAGCAGUCAUGAAGAACAAACCAUUAACCUGGAUGUCCAUACAUCAAGUCCUACCUGAUACUGUAAAUAUGAUGGUUCACCAGGAAAAUGCAAAACUUCCCUGUGCCACGCUUUCUUUCUACUGCAAUCUCUUAAAGGCCUGAUGUCUUUAUUUCAGCCCCUGUAAACUGCCACAAGCAUCAGAAAAAAACCUGAAUAUGAGGAGAUUGAAAGUGGUCACAUUAGAUCAUCUGCAGAGGAAAAACAAUUCCAAAAACUUGACUCUGGACUCUACGUAUACUGUGUAGAAAAGGGGCAAGUCCAUGCUGAAUUCACCUCUCAUCUUCAGAGAGCAUGUCCAUCCAGGGGCAGCAGGGACCUUUCUGGAUGCAGAAAUAGCAGCGCAUUUAAAUAUUGCCCCCAUUCCCAUGUCUAUGACCGUUCUGUAUUCAUACACUUGAUGGUACACUGAGCCAAAAUCAAGUCAACAUGAAAACAGUACCACUGAGCAUGCACACAGAAGUCACAAAAUCCCCUCACAAUCCCACACACAACACCACAUAUGGAAGGAUGAAGAAUUAACCUGGUGGAGCCCUCAUGCUACAAACAAUACAUAUCCUUUCCUUGUCAUGCCACACAAGUAGAAAGUUGAGAGACGAAAGUUCUGAUCCCUAUCAAGAACUCGCAAAGGUGUUUUGCAAAGAGAAAGCCCCUGAAUUACCUCUGCACUGGCCAUGGUUUGUUCAUUCCUCGUUCUGUAACAGAAGCAUAAAGACAUUUCAGAUGGAUUUACCAGCACCCUCAUUCUCCCUCAUCCUGAACCCUCACUCCUAUUCAUCAUAAAAGUGGACACUGUAACAACAGACAGACUGACAGAAAAAAUGCUUUAGUGUUUUUAGUAACAAAAGGUGC
Ictalurus punctatus (channel catfish) is the source of this 1073-nucleotide long non-coding RNA. NCBI's taxonomy places the organism in Eukaryota, Metazoa, Chordata, Actinopteri, Siluriformes, Ictaluridae. The record is from Ensembl.